RNAcentral lists this ribosomal RNA (1248 nucleotides) under metagenome. RNAcentral's name for it is "SSU rRNA". It matches the Rfam family "Eukaryotic small subunit ribosomal RNA", at positions 523 to 1792 of the family's 1831-position model. The record is from RNAcentral.
AUUUAAGUCCCUUAUCGAGUAUCAAUUGGAGGGCAAGUCUGGUGCCAGCAGCCGCGGUAAUUCCAGCUCCAAUAGCGUAUAUUAAAGUUGUUGCAGUUAAAAGCUCGUAGUUGAAAUACUGACAUAGUCGACCGGUCUCACGCAUCGUCGUGAGCACUUGUGUUGUAUUAGGUCAUUCUUGGAUUUUAGCCAGUCUAGCAUUAAGUUGUCGGGUUGGUGAAAACCAUCGUUUACUGUGAAAAAAAUUAGAGUGUUCAAAGCAGACUUAUGUCGUUGAAUAGAUUAGCAUGGAAUAAUAAUAUAGGACUUUUGUACUAUUUCGUUGGUUAGGUGUAAAAGUAAUGAUCAAUAGGGACGGUUGGGCGUAUUCGUAUUUCGUUGCUAGAGGUGAAAUUCUUGGAUUUCCGAAAGACGAACUACUGCGAAAGCAUUUACGAAGGAUGUUUUCAUUAAUCAAGAACGAAAGUUAGGGGAUCGAAGAUGAUUAGAUACCAUCGUAGUCUUAACCAUAAACUAUGCCGACUCGGGAUUGGGCGUUGUUUUUUGACUCGUCCAGCACCGUAUGGGAAACCAUUAGUCUUUGGGUUCCGGGGGGAGUAUGGUCGCAAGACUGAAACUUAAAGAAAUUGACGGAAGGGCACCACCAGGAGUGGAGCCUGCGGCUUAAUUUGACCCAACACGGGAAAACUUACCAGGUCCAGACAUAAAUAGGAUUGACAGAUUGAGAGCUCUUUCUUGAUUUUAUGGGUGGUGGUGCAUGGCCGUUCUUAGUUGGUGGAGUGAUUUGUCUGGUUAAUUCCGUUAACGAACGAGACCGCCGCCUGCUAAAUAGUUCCGUGAAUCAUUUUUGAUUGAUGAGAGCUUCUUAGAGGGACGUCCAUUCUACAAGAUGGAGGAAGAUGGCGGCAAUAACAGGUCUGUGAUGCCCUUAGAUGUCCUGGGCCGCACGCGCGCUACACUGAUGCAUUCAACGAGUCAAAAACCUUGGCCGAGAGGCCUGGGUAAUCUUUUUAAUGUGCAUCGUGAUAGGGAUAGAUUAUUGCAAUUAUUAAUCUUGAACGAGGAAUUCCUAGUAAACGUAUAUCAUCAGUAUACAUUGAUUACGUCCCUGCCCUUUGUACACACCGCCCGUCGCACCUACCGAUUGAACGGUCCGAUGAACACCCGAGCGCGGACUUUGUUUCCUUCAUUGGAGAUUAAGACCGUAAACCCGUGUAAAUCUUAUCGUUUAGAGGAAGGUGAAGUCGU